CUCCAUUCAUUCAUUCAUAAACUUCCAUAUUUUUCUUCAUCAACACAUUACUGUACUGCUGUUGCUGUAAUUCUCUAAAAGAACAAUGGCUGCUCUCUCAGUAGCCAACACUUCUCUUAAGGUUCCUCAUUCACUCGCCCUGCAAUCUAUCUAUUAUUAAUUGAUCCUGACUUGUUCGGGACUGAGACGUACAUAGUUAUGAAUAUGUUUGUUGAUUUGUUGUUUUUUUAAAAUUGAUGGACAGGUCAGCAACAAAGGAUUCUCUGAAUUCUCUGGUCUGAGAACCUCAUCAGCUGUUCCAUUUGGAAGGAAAACUAAUGAUGAUUUGUUCUCUGUAGCUGGCUUACAGACCUCUGCUGUGAGUAUUAUUAUACAACUACUACUAUUAUUGCAUUAUAAGAUCAAUCAGGUCAUAAACCUUUAAUUAGUAUUGAUAGUGUAAAAAAUCUAACAUUGUCGAUGUAUGUAACUUAAAUCCUUAAAAAGUUAAGGAAAAGAAGAGAGAAUGUGUAUCCUUCAUGUCUGGUUGUGAUCAAGAUGUGCUCUAUGUUCUUUUUUUCUUGUAUGUGCUAAACAUUAAUUUGACAAGUUUGAAGGAAGAUCAAACACUAUUGUUAAAGAAAAUUUAGACAAAAUAAAAAUGAGUGAUAACAUUGUAUGAAUAUCUAAGUUGUACUUCUAACCUAUGUUAUGUUGCUCGGACUCUCUAAAAUUGUUGCUGCAUCCAUGUCGGAUUCUCCCAAAAUAUACUACUUUUGGAGAAUCCGACAUGCACCUGUCAGCAUUUUUGACGAGUCCGAGUAACAUAGCUUCCAAAAAUGUUUCUUUUGGUAAUUGGAUUUAAUGAAAUGUAGAUUGGAGGAAGGAAGAACAAGAGGAUAGUAACUGAGGCAAAGUUGAAAGUGGCUAUCAAUGGAUUUGGAAGAAUUGGAAGGAACUUCUUGAGGUGUUGGCAUGGUAGAAAAGACUCACCUCUUGAUGUCAUUGCCAUCAAUGACACUGGUGGUGUCAAGCAAGCUUCUCACCUUCUCAAAUAUGACUCCACCCUUGGCAUCUUUGAUGCUGACGUCAAGCCGGUUGGCACUGAUGGAAUCUCUGUCGAUGGAAAAAUCAUCCAAGUCGUCUCCAACCGUGACCCUGUGAACCUCCCAUGGGGGUAAGUUCUAUCAUACUGAAAUGUAACAAAACGGAUUUAAGUUGUAUAUGUUCAAAUAUAGUGUAACAAAAUUUACAUUAUACAUUUGUAGAAAAGACUAAUUAAAACUCUGUAUUAUGAUACAGGGAACUCAUAUUAUCAGUUGUCUAAACAGAAACAGUAGUUCUAAGUUUUAAUAGUCAUGAAUUAUAGACUUAAUGGUAACAAACAAACCUAAGCUAUCACAUUUUCGUGAGUUUCAUACGUCAGCUAUCCAUUGUUCUACUUAGCACUUACAUACCUAAACUGUCACCUUUUUGCGAGUUUCAUACCUCAACUAUCACUCCCUUUGUAUUAAACACACCUCGAUGUUGAAUUGUCCUACAUGCCUGUUGUUGAUUGAGAACAAAUAUUUGGCCAGCUUGAGUGAUAUUUUAGGUACAAAAAGAGAACAAUGGAUAGUUGAGGUAUGACACUCGCGAAGAAGUGAUAGUUUAAGUGUUUUUUUAUCAUUUACUCUGAAUUGAAACAUGAUUAAUUUAGCUCAUGUGGUGUCUAACAUAUACUACUAGCAUGAGAUACCUGGUAAGCAUCUAAACUAUUGUUCAAAAUGUUUUCUGUAAUUUGUUCAGAGAACUUGGAAUUGAUUUGGUCAUAGAAGGUACCGGAGUGUUUGUAGACAGAGAAGGUGCCGGUAAACACAUCCAGGCCGGAGCCAAGAAGGUGCUCAUCACCGCCCCUGGAAAAGGUGAUAUCCCUACUUAUGUUGUUGGUGUCAAUGCUGAACUUUACAACCAUGAUGAACCUAUCAUCAGCAAUGCCUCUUGCACCAC
Molecule: long non-coding RNA, 1968 nt
Filed under: Solanum tuberosum (potato)
Lineage: Eukaryota; Viridiplantae; Streptophyta; Magnoliopsida; Solanales; Solanaceae
Description: long non-coding RNA (STUB_LNC004343)
Source: RNAcentral